CCAGGAAUCGCUCUGGAAAUAUUUUAUGAAGUCCUUACAACUACUGCUGCUCUGCAAUCACACUACUUCACCAGGAAUCUUUCCAGAAACAUUUUUACCAGGUUCAUUCAACUACUGCUGCUCUGCACACUGACUCCUUCAACAGGAAUCUUUCCAGAAACUUUCACC
This is a long non-coding RNA of Ctenocephalides felis (cat flea), 168 nucleotides long. RefSeq lists it as uncharacterized. The transcript is spliced from 3 exons. Lineage: Eukaryota; Metazoa; Arthropoda; Insecta; Siphonaptera; Pulicidae. The record is from RefSeq and is a predicted model, not a curated record.